Molecule: long non-coding RNA, 1121 nt
Organism: Oenanthe melanoleuca
Lineage: Eukaryota; Metazoa; Chordata; Aves; Passeriformes; Muscicapidae
Exons: 4
Source: RefSeq, a predicted model, not a curated record
UGCGCGGGCCGGGGCCUAUUUCUAUGCGGCCGAUCCGCUGCCGGCCCGUUCCAUUCGGGAACACUCGUGCUGGGAUGCGGCGGGAUCCUCGUCGGAGCGCUGUGCCAGGGACAGCUCCCGGUUCUGCGCGAAUCCUGGGGCGCUCAGGACACAGGAUAUACUGGGAUUGAGAGGGUUCCUAAAAUCCGACUCUCGAGGACACGGCCCGUGGGAGAAUUGAACUUACAACCUUGGCACUACCUGGACUGUGCUCCGACUGACUGAGCCCUCUGCAUCACGCUGCGAGGGGCAGGAGGAGGCCAGGAGUCCCCGAAAGGCGUCCGGCACCUCUUGUCCAUGGGCCCUCGGGGCAGGGGCUGUGCCUGCAGCGUCCUGCCCGUGCCGAGCGCACGGCCCGGGAUGGGCGCUGGGUGCCCGGCCGGCGCUGGCACGGACACGGCUCAAGGGCUGCCCGUGGCUCCCGGGCCAGGGGCUGCUCUGAGCAGGCUCCUGGAGACGCUUCAGCCUGGAUACAGGCCACUGACAGCCCAAAAGCAGCCCAAGGAGCAGCUGGCGUGUCCUGGUGAUGGUGGCACUGGCUGCGUGCAGAGGGGCUCAGACAGCAAUUCCUGGUUCCAGCCUCCCAGAGCUCCCAGGCAGCUGCCAGCUAUUAAAUGCCAACCGACAGCCUGCAGAGAUGCCUUCAAAUCAAAGGUUCAGGUGGGAUGAAGUUUUGUUUGGACAAAGGUGGGAGUUUCCAGGGAGCCAGCUGGAAGUGCAGAAGGGAUGGAAAGCUUUCCCAGGUGGGUCCCACUGGAGGUGUGCUGGAGGCAGGGAUGUGCACCCUUUGCUGAGGGAAAAGAACUUGCAGAGGCCACUGCUGAGGCCCUGAAAGGAGCUGAGCUGCUGCAGGGAGAGAUGUCCUCCCGUGGGCACGGGGAGCUGCCUUGGCACGGGACGGGAGCGCCCCCGGCCCUGCCUUCUCCUGCUUGAAAAUAUCACCUGGAGCCCCGGCUCAGGGGGGCUAAAUCAGCUGGACUCCGGGCAGCUCUGUCAGCUGCCCCCAGGGACAUGGGUGGGGCUGGGGGAUGAGGGCUUUAAAUAGCCAAUUCUUUGGAACAGAUGCCUGUCCCUGUCCCGAA